UGUAGCUCAGUGGAUAGAGCAACGGACUUCUAAUCCGUGGCAAGCCAUUUCCUAAGUUAUUGAAAUAAAAGAUAACUCCUACACUCUCUUAUAGUUGCAGAGAAAUUUAUUCUGCACCA
This 119-nucleotide transfer RNA is filed under the name Candidatus Aminicenantota bacterium. RNAcentral describes it as "tRNA-Arg". The stretch from base 1 to 53 matches the Rfam family "tRNA". Lineage: Bacteria; Candidatus Aminicenantota. The record is from RNAcentral.